This is a small nucleolar RNA of Homo sapiens (human), 102 nucleotides long. It matches the Rfam family "Small nucleolar RNA U13". Lineage: Eukaryota; Metazoa; Chordata; Mammalia; Primates; Hominidae. The record is from Rfam.
AGCUUUUUGUAGUUCAUAAGCGUGAUGACUGGGUGUACACACAUGUGUAAGAUGUACCUCCCUCACACCUCGGUACAACAUUGGCAUAUUACCCACCCCACA